This 236-nucleotide ribosomal RNA is filed under the name uncultured Actinomycetales bacterium. Its description in RNAcentral is "partial 16S ribosomal RNA". It matches the Rfam family "Bacterial small subunit ribosomal RNA", at positions 96 to 334 of the family's 1533-position model. Lineage: Bacteria; Bacillati; Actinomycetota; Actinomycetes; Actinomycetales. The record is from RNAcentral.
UGGCGAACGGGUGAGUAACACGUGGGUAAUCUGCCCCGCACUCUGGGAUAAGCCUGGGAAACUGGGUCUAAUACUGGAUAUGACCUUUCUCCUUAUGGGGUUUGGUGGAAAGUUUUUCGGUGUAGGAUGAGCCCGCGGCCUAUCAGCUUGUUGGUGGGGUGAUGGCCUACCAAGGCGACGACGGGUAGCCGGCCUGAGAGGGUGAUCGGCCACAUUGGGACUGAGAUACGGCCCAG